UUCUGCCCAUUUUCGGAACGUGUUAAACGUUUAACCCAAGUCUCAAGAAAAUUCUUUAAAGAGUAUAUGAGAAAUGGCGAAGACAUAAAAAUGAAUGUUUAGUUAUUUGCUCUUCAAAUGAGACAUUGAUCUCAAUCAGUCAUAACUUUACAUUUCAACAUAGUGAACAUAGUUUAAUAUAAAUUCUUAUAGGGCAUUUUUCAAAUUGUUUGAAUUGUUAAUUACAGUCACGUGCCAGGUAUUAAUUUUUGCGAUAGCAUGCAGGGCAAUGAUAGUUCUGGCUAUUUUGAUGACAACAGGAGCUAUCGUGAGUGCAGUGCUUGUGUUGUUUGUUAUAAAGGAGCAACAGAUCUUGCUCUUUGUAGCUGGAGGCCUGAAUCUCUUGUCUGAACCAAGUGUGAACCAAGUGUGCAACAACUUCAUGUCCUGCCCCUUGAAAUACAUAUACAAAGUUCAAAAAGGGAAUGCAUUGUUCAUGAGGCGUAGUCCCAAUAAUGUCCAGCCAAACAAAGACCUCUGGACAGAAACCGAUUGUAGACGAAAACAGCACAAGGGCGCAGAAGAGGGCAUGAAAAACAAACAACGAUACUAUACCACUCACGAACCAUGAAUGGUAAACAAUUAGAGGGACAUUCAAUGAUUAAUAUGGGCAGGAAAGGGGAGGAAUGAUUGAAGGGAAAGGAAAGUGGAUCCAAAUUUCUUCCUCUUCUACUCAAUUCGAGCAAAACACGAACAUUUAAACAAUGAUCUAUUGUUAAAUUCGUUACCACUUAUUACGAAUAUAUGAGCCGCCAUAUUGGUAUCUUCUCAAAUAAUGACGUCCGGGUGAAAAAUACCCUCUCACGUGACACAAAUGUACUGGUUUUCAAAAUUGUUAUGAUUUACGACUAUAUAAUAACUUUUCCUUUUCUUUCAGGAAUUUUCUUGAUGAUUGCUAUGGCAAUGUAUGUUCAUGAAAUAAAAACUGACGAUUCAGAUGGAGUUUCUUCAGAUCUUGGUUACGGAUUUGCCCUAGAUAUACUUGCGUGGCUGGCGGCAUGGGCAGCUGGUGGACUUUUCAUCGCUGCUAAGUUUUUGACCAAGGACUAAACAUAAGAAACAAAAUUGACAAUUGCUAGAGUAAUAAAUGUAUAAAAUAUAUUGAAUACCCUGUACUGUAACGUAUUUCUUAUGGUUUUAUAUGAUAAAUCUGAUGCUCAAAUGAAAGAUUCGUCAUUGUUGUAAGUUUUAACAAUUACCAAAUUUGACAUUUGAUAUAAAUAAAGGGAGGUACAUGUAAUUAGAAAUUUAUUUUCGAAAAAGUCUAAGCCAGUUUGUUUUUGUUGUUUUUUUGUUGUUGUUGUUUCCAAUAUAAAUGGAUGCAUUGUUUGUAACGUUUAAUUGUAAUGUGUUUAAACGUUUGCGGUACAUAUUCAACAUAUUCUUUGAUGUUUGGAAAUUGCUUUAGAAAAUUAAGUACAAUGUAUAUACAUUUAUAAAACUUUUCUCAACAAUAUGUUACAUCUUUUUCUCAGGUUACUGUACAUUUAGGUUCUCAUUGACCGCCGUACAGUGACCUAUUUUUAGCUCCAAUUUCAUAUCUUUUAAUUUGCUUAUACACCGUGGAAAUUGCAUGGAUGUAAAUUAUCAAUUACAAUUCUAGAAUAUUUAUGACCAUUGUUUGAAUACUAAGUGUAUCAAAAACAAUACCGCAAAAAUAGAUAAUAAAUGCCUUCAAAUUA
This is a long non-coding RNA of Ruditapes philippinarum (Manila clam), 1721 nucleotides long. RefSeq lists it as uncharacterized. The record is from RefSeq and is a predicted model, not a curated record. Lineage: Eukaryota; Metazoa; Mollusca; Bivalvia; Venerida; Veneridae. The transcript has 2 exons.